Ictalurus punctatus (channel catfish) is the source of this 1526-nucleotide long non-coding RNA. RefSeq lists it as uncharacterized. The record is from RefSeq and is a predicted model, not a curated record. The transcript has 5 exons. NCBI's taxonomy places the organism in Eukaryota, Metazoa, Chordata, Actinopteri, Siluriformes, Ictaluridae.
AUGAGGAUGAUGGGAACUGUAGUCUUGUAGUCUGCACCUGAUGGACUGUCAGGCACAGCUGUGACACCAACCUCAUUGCCCUCUCAGCGCUGCCUGCUGUGCCACCGUGCUGCCCUUAUAAACAUAAAAUCAGUGCUUCUGCCAUUCCGACAGUCCAUUCACAACCAAUGAGAGUGGGAGGAAAGAGAUAAGCAGGAUUUGUCCUUCACCUGCUUCGUCUUAAGCACACACAGAAGGGUCAGUGGGGUUUAAGCAGCUAAGCUAAAAGGAAAACAAGGUGGCUCACCUGGAUUUACUCCAUCUCCUCUGAGCUGGAGCAGGAAGAAUGAGUUCAAACCAAAGAGCAUCUAGAAACCCUGGGAUCUAUAGGAGGCAAACAAAAAGCAGCAGUGGCCUCCUUUGAACAGUCAGUUUAGGAAGUGGCCCACUGGAGAACACUAGGAUCCUGACAUGGCUUUACAUGGUCCCAUGUGCACCAUGUCACCACAUAAUUUGCUAGCAUCCAAAACAGGACCAUCCAGACACCACAGCUGGAACAGAGGAGCCCAGAACUUCAAAUCACAGACCACAAACCACGUCAGUGCCCGUUCUUGAGGUAAAAGCCCCCAGACAAAGUGCUCACUCAGAUCAGAGCUGUUUGGGUGUUUAAAGUGUGAGGUGAAUGAGAGAUCAGAACACAGAUGCACGCACUGGGAUGCAGAUCAAAGGGAGGCAGAGCCGUGCAUUACUCCAUCUCUCUUAUCUGCCAAAUCUCUGACGAUGGCUGUGCCAACAGCCCUCCAUCCAGACUCUCUCAGAACAUAAACACGGUGACAGAAGUGAGCGUGAGAUCUACCUGUUAAGCCUUCAAGAAUAUACAGAGCAAAUUAAGGAGUUUCGUGCAAAGGGAGUCAAUAGGCUGAAUCAAAUAAAACCACUUCACAGUGUUCAGCUUUAAAAUACUCAUGUCAAAAAGUCAAAAAGAUACUCUUAUGUUUUGUUUUGUUUUUUUUCGACCUAAUCUCUGUUUUCUACAUCAGUCCACCGUGUGUUAUUAUCAUGGAAAAGAACUUCUGUCCAUAAUGAGAAAAGCACAGAAAAUCUGUUAUGACAAAUUUAUCAAUCUAAGGGCAUUUGCUGAAUUCCAACAAUACACGUGAAAAGUCAAAGCUUCAACUAUUACAAUUAUUAAAUUAAAUAAUAUUAAUAUUACAGGGCUAUGUUUACCCUCCUGAGACUCAUAUGAUGACAUCACAAUUUCUCCCAAACAUUUUGUGUACAUAUCGUUGUAACAUCCUCAUAUGAUGACAGUUGGGUAUUCCCGAAACGUCUUCCUGUCUGAAGACAUUGACAGAAGGCAAAGGAACAAGAUGAAAUAAGUGUUUCAAAUGGCUGGUGUUAUAAAUAUGAUGUUUACAGUAUGAUGUAAAACAAACACUCCUGUAUUGGAAGAAAUCCCCAGGCUGUUUUUGUCUACUUCAAUAAAGAUUGUUGAUAUUGCUAAUAGCAUACUGUGUGUGGAGAGAAUCUACAGUAUACUAUGUAUU